Molecule: ribosomal RNA, 497 nt
Filed under: uncultured bacterium
Lineage: Bacteria
Description: partial 16S ribosomal RNA
Rfam family: Bacterial small subunit ribosomal RNA
Source: RNAcentral
GAUGAACGCUGGCGGCGUGCCUAAUACAUGCAAGUCGAGCGAACAGAUGAGGAGCUUGCUCCUCUGACGUUAGCGGCGGACGGGUGAGUAACACGUGGAUAACCUACCUACAAGACUGGGAUAACUUCGGGAAACCGGAGCUAAUACCGGAUAUUAUAUUGAACCGCAUGGUUCAAUAGUGAAAGACGGUUUUGCUGUCACUUAUAGAUGGAUCCGCGCCGCAUUAGCUAGUUGGUAAGGUAACGGCUUACCAAGGCAACGAUGCGUAGCCGACCUGAGAGGGUGAUCGGCCACACUGGAACUGAGACACGGUCCAGACUCCUACGGGAGGCAGCAGUAGGGAAUCUUCCGCAAUGGGCGAAAGCCUGACGGAGCAACGCCGCGUGAGUGAUGAAGGUCUUCGGAUCGUAAAACUCUGUUAUUAGGGAAGAACAAAUGUGUAAGUAACUAUGCACGUCUUGACGGUACCUAAUCAGAAAGCCACGGCUAACUACGUG